GGAAGUGGUCGAAGAAGUGCUUCUUGAUGGGCUCGCAGAUGGUCGCCGACGCGCACACCGGCGACACAUAGUGGGUCUUGCCGGCGACGGCGACGAAGGUGCGCUCCGACAGCUGCAUGACCCUCGACGGCUCCUGCCCCGGGCACGCCGCGUUGUUAUGCGCCGCGCUGUGGAGUUGCGCCACGCAGUCGGCCCCGCGGAGGUCGGCG
This 209-nucleotide unclassified non-coding RNA is filed under the name Hevea brasiliensis (rubber tree). The record is from RNAcentral. Lineage: Eukaryota; Viridiplantae; Streptophyta; Magnoliopsida; Malpighiales; Euphorbiaceae.